AGGGGGUUAGUCUAACCAAGAUAACUGAUUUCGACUCAGUAGAUUAUAAUUUCCUUUAUAGCCCCUUC
This 68-nucleotide transfer RNA is filed under the name Luetkenotyphlus brasiliensis. RNAcentral describes it as "tRNA-Arg". Lineage: Eukaryota; Metazoa; Chordata; Amphibia; Gymnophiona; Siphonopidae. The record is from RNAcentral.